This 520-nucleotide small RNA is filed under the name Fusarium oxysporum. Its description in RNAcentral is "eukaryotic LSU rRNA". The stretch from base 205 to 358 matches the Rfam family "5.8S ribosomal RNA". Lineage: Eukaryota; Fungi; Ascomycota; Sordariomycetes; Hypocreales; Nectriaceae. The record is from RNAcentral.
UGGAAGUAAAAAGUCGUAACAAGGUCUCCGCUGGUGAACCAGCGGAGGGAUCAUUACCGAGUUUACAACUCCCAAACCCCUGUGAACAUACCACUUGUUGUCUCGGCGGAUCAGCCCGCUCCCGGUAAAACGGGACGGCCCGCCAGAGGACCCCUAAACUCUGUUUCUAUAUGUAACUUCUGAGUAAAACCAUAAAUAAAUCAAAACUUUCAACAACGGAUCUCUUGGUUCUGGCAUCGAUGAAGAACGCAGCAAAAUGCGAUAAGUAAUGUGAAUUGCAGAAUUCAGUGAAUCAUCGAAUCUUUGAACGCACAUUGCGCCCGCCAGUAUUCUGGCGGGCAUGCCUGUUCGAGCGUCAUUUCAACCCUCAAGCACAGCUUGGUGUUGGGACUCGCGUUAAUUCGCGUUCCCCAAAUUGAUUGGCGGUCACGUCGAGCUUCCAUAGCGUAGUAGUAAAACCCUCGUUACUGGUAAUCGUCGCGGCCACGCCGUUAAACCCCAACUUCUGAAUGUGACCUCG